AGCGGCAGACGGGAGAGUAACACGUGGGAAGGUACCCUUUGGUUCGGAACAACCCAGGGAAACUUGGGCUAAUACCGGAUACGUCCGAAAGGAGAAAGAUUCAUCGCCGAAGGAACGGCCCGCGUCUGAUUAGCUUGUUGGUGAGGUAACGGCUCACCAAGGCGACGAUCAGUAGCUGGUCUGAGAGGAUGAUCAGCCUCACUGGGACUGAGACACGGCCCAGACUCCUACGGGAGGCAGCAGUGGGGAAUAUUGGACAAUGGGCGCAAGCCUGAUCCAGCCAUGCCGCGUGGGUGAUGAAGGCCCUAGGGUUGUAAAGCCCUUUCGGCGGGGAAGAUAAUGACGGUACCCGCAGAAGAAGCCCCGGCUAACUUCGUGCCAGCAGCCGCGGUAAUACGAAGGGGGCUAGCGUUGCUCGGAAUCACUGGGCGUAAAGCGCACGUAGGCGGAUUGUUAAGUCAGGGGUGAAAUCCUGGAGCUCAACUCCAGAACUGCCUUUGA
RNAcentral lists this ribosomal RNA (501 nucleotides) under uncultured bacterium. RNAcentral's name for it is "bacterial SSU rRNA". It matches the Rfam family "Bacterial small subunit ribosomal RNA", at positions 94 to 630 of the family's 1533-position model. The record is from RNAcentral.